Molecule: long non-coding RNA, 617 nt
Filed under: Pogona vitticeps (central bearded dragon)
Lineage: Eukaryota; Metazoa; Chordata; Lepidosauria; Squamata; Agamidae
Description: lncRNA (ENSPVIG00000014850.1)
Source: RNAcentral
AUGCUCUUGUUUUCAGUUCCACACAUCUUCCCCAGAGGGAACAUCAGUUUUGCUUAUGAAGAGAAUCGAACAGAACUACAAACUACUCAAAGCUUGCCUGAAGCUACAACUACUUUUCCUGCAGCAAGCACAAUAAAAGCUAAGAUUCCUCCCAAGGCCCCCAGGUGGGAAGGAUAUGAGGGGAGUGAUUACUGGUUUUCAGAAGACAUGGCCAGCUGGCUCAACAGCCGAACCACGUGCAAAACUUGGAAUUCAGAACUCGUGAUCAUCAAUGACAGAAAGGAACUGGAGUUUAUUUCUAACAAAACAAGGAUGGCUGAUUAUUUCAUUGGACUGACAUAUAUGGAGCCUGAAGAACAACAGCCAGCAAGAUGGCAGUGGAAUGAUGGUCGUGAACUCGAGAGGAGCUUGUUUUCUAUGGGACCAUAUGUAAAGGGAAGAGAUUGUGCAACAAUCAGAGCAGGAAAAGGGAGUCCAGUAUCUUGUUAUGAGAAACAUCACUGGAUCUGUGAGAAAAACAACAGAUAAAUUCUUGGUGCAGAAGAAUCUAAUGGAGUGACCUGAUGGCGUAGGAGAGAAAACUGUACCUUGAUGAAUAAAAAUGCUGUUUUCUAACA